AGGGAUACAGGAGGCUGGGGAGGAUUCAAUAUUCAAAAUCAAUCAAUGGGAUACAUCAACAAGAGACAGUAUAAAAACCAUAUGAUCAUUUCAAAUAGGUGCAG
Lynx canadensis (Canada lynx) is the source of this 104-nucleotide long non-coding RNA. RefSeq lists it as uncharacterized. The transcript is spliced from 4 exons. Lineage: Eukaryota; Metazoa; Chordata; Mammalia; Carnivora; Felidae. The record is from RefSeq and is a predicted model, not a curated record.